Molecule: ribosomal RNA, 495 nt
Filed under: uncultured bacterium
Lineage: Bacteria
Description: partial 16S ribosomal RNA
Rfam family: Bacterial small subunit ribosomal RNA
Source: RNAcentral
GAUGAACGCUGGCGGCGUGCCUAAUACAUGCAAGUAGAACGCUGAAGGAGGAGCUUGCUCUUCUGGAUGAGUUGCGAACGGGUGAGUAACGCGUAGGUAACCUGCCUGGUAGCGGGGGAUAACUAUUGGAAACGAUAGCUAAUACCGCAUGACAACAGUUAUUGCAUGAUAACUGUUUAAAAGGGGCAACUGCUCCACUACCAGAUGGACCUGCGUUGUAUUAGCUAGUUGGUGAGGUAACGGCUCACCAAGGCGACGAUACAUAGCCGACCUGAGAGGGGGAUCGGCCACAAUGGGACUGAGACACGGCCCAGACUCCUACGGGAGGCAGCAGUAGGGAAUCUUCGGCAAUGGACGGAAGUCUGACCGAGCAACGCCGCGUGAGUGAAGAAGGUUUUCGGAUCGUAAAGCUCUGUUGUAAGAGAAGAACGAGUGUGAGAGUGGAAAGUUCACACUGUGACGGUAUCUUACCAGAAAGGGACGGCUAACUACGUG